AUGUGCCUACGGGGGGCAGCACUGGGGAAUAUUGGGCAAUGGGCGCAAGCCUGACCCAGCAACGCCGCGUGAAGGAAGAAGGCUUUCGGGUUGUAAACUUCUUUUCUCAGGGACGAAGCAAGUGACGGUACCUGAGGAAUAAGCCACGGCUAACUACGUGCCAGCAGCCGCGGUAAUACGUAGGUGGCAAGCGUUAUCCGGAUUUACUGGGUGUAAAGGGCGUGUAGGCGGGGACGCCAG
RNAcentral lists this ribosomal RNA (240 nucleotides) under uncultured bacterium. RNAcentral's name for it is "partial 16S ribosomal RNA". It matches the Rfam family "Bacterial small subunit ribosomal RNA", at positions 333 to 587 of the family's 1533-position model. The record is from RNAcentral.